RNAcentral lists this ribosomal RNA (253 nucleotides) under uncultured bacterium. RNAcentral's name for it is "partial 16S ribosomal RNA". It matches the Rfam family "Bacterial small subunit ribosomal RNA", at positions 524 to 776 of the family's 1533-position model. The record is from RNAcentral.
UACAGGGGGGGCAAGCGUUGUUCGGAAUUACUGGGCGUAAAGGGCCAGUAGGCGGCCAACUAAGUCCGACGUGAAAUCCCCAGGCUUAACCUGGGAACUGCGUCGGAUACUGGAUGGCUUGAAUUCGGGAGAGGGAUGCAGAAUUCCAGGUGUAGCGGUGAAAUGCGUAGAUAUCAGGAGGAACACCGGUGGCGAAGGCGGGUCUCUGGGCCGAUACUGACGCUGAGGAGCGAAAGCGUGGGGAGCGAACAGG